Molecule: ribosomal RNA, 492 nt
Filed under: uncultured bacterium
Lineage: Bacteria
Description: partial 16S ribosomal RNA
Rfam family: Bacterial small subunit ribosomal RNA
Source: RNAcentral
AGUGAACGCUGGCGGUAGGCCUAACACAUGCAAGUCGAACGGCAGCACAGUAAGAGCUUGCUCUUACGGGUGGCGAGUGGCGGACGGGUGAGGAAUACAUCGGAAUCUACUUUUUCGUGGGGGAUAACGUAGGGAAGCUUACGCUAAUACCGCAUACGACCUACGGGUCAAAGCAGGGGAUCUUCGGACCUUGCGCGAUUGAAUGAGCCGAUGUCGGAUUAGCUAGUUGGCGGGGUAAAGGCCCACCAAGGCGACGAUCCGUAGCUGGUCUGAGAGGAUGAUCAGCCACACUGGAACUGAGACACGGUCCAGACUCCUACGGGAGGCAGCAGUGGGGAAUAUUGGACAAUGGGCGCAAGCCUGAUCCAGCCAUACCGCGUGGGUGAAGAAGGCCUUCGGGUUGUAAAGCCCUUUUGUUGGGAAAGAAAAGCAGCAGGUUAAUACCCCGCUGUUCUGACGGUACCCAAAGAAUAAGCACCGGCUAACUUCGUG